UGCCGCGUGCAGGAUGAAGGCCUUCGGGUUGUAAACUGCUUUUGUACGGAACGAAAAGACUCCUUCUAAUACAGGGGGUCCAUGACGGUACCGUAAGAAUAAGCACCGGCUAACUACGUGCCAGCAGCCGCGGUAAUACGUAGGGUGCAAGCGUUAAUCGGAAUUACUGGGCGUAAAGCGUGCGCAGGCGGUUAUGUAAGACAGAUGUGAAAUCCCCGGGCUCAACCUGGGAACUGCAUUUGUGACUGCAUAGCUAGAGUACGGUAGAGGGGGAUGGAAUUCCGCGUGUAGCAGUGAAAUGCGUAGAUAUGCGGAGGAACACCGAUGGCGAAGGCAAUCCCCUGGACCUGUACUGACGCUCAUGCACGAAAGCGUGGGGAGCAAACAGGAUUAGAUACCCUGGUAGUCCACGCCCUAAACGAUGUCAACUGGUUGUUGGGUCUUCACUGACUCAGUAACGAAGCUAACGCG
This 471-nucleotide ribosomal RNA is filed under the name Acidovorax sp. RNAcentral's name for it is "bacterial SSU rRNA". It matches the Rfam family "Bacterial small subunit ribosomal RNA", at positions 395 to 859 of the family's 1533-position model. Lineage: Bacteria; Pseudomonadati; Pseudomonadota; Betaproteobacteria; Burkholderiales; Comamonadaceae. The record is from RNAcentral.